GAGGACCUCCUGCAGUAAUGGAACAUGAAAUUCCAGGCUGUGAGCUCCCUAAGGGCAGAACAUCUUGUCUAACUCAGAUCAUUAAAGUGGCCCUGGAGCCAGACCCACCUGGGUGUGAACUUCUGUUUCUCCACUUGUUGGCUGUGUACUCAUAGGGGCAGCCACUUGAAGGAGGAGACACACAGGGAGAACGUCCCGAGGCUGAGACUGGAGUUAUGCAGCUGCAAGCCUGAGAACACCAAAGAUUGCUGCAGAAACCACUGGAAGCAAGAAAGAGGCCAGGGAGGAGUCAGAGGAGGCAUGGCUCUGCAAACACCUUGAUCUCCUGGCCUCCAGAACUGUGAGACUAUACAUUUCUGUUGUUUUAAGCUGCCAAGCUCAUCAUACCUUUUGACUGUAGCCCUACAAAACCAAUAUAACUGCUUUCAGGAAGUCCCAGCUACUGCACUUUUGGGGAUACUGCUGCUAAUCAUGUUGCAUUUUUGCAGCUCUAGGCAUGUAUUUUCAGCCCCUCACCCCCAAAUCAACAUUUACCGUAUUUUCCUGUUUCUGAAAUUUCCUACCUGAGGUAUAUACAUUUCAUAUAAUCUGACCU
Molecule: long non-coding RNA, 595 nt
Organism: Cebus imitator (Panamanian white-faced capuchin)
Lineage: Eukaryota; Metazoa; Chordata; Mammalia; Primates; Cebidae
Exons: 3
Source: RefSeq, a predicted model, not a curated record